Oncorhynchus tshawytscha (Chinook salmon) is the source of this 1174-nucleotide long non-coding RNA. The record is from Ensembl. NCBI's taxonomy places the organism in Eukaryota, Metazoa, Chordata, Actinopteri, Salmoniformes, Salmonidae.
GUUCCUCCUAGAAUGUUCUAGAACACUUCUAUCAAUGAGGUAACCUUAAGGAUUCCUCCUAGAAUGUUCUAGAACAUGUCUGUCAAUGAGGUCACCUCAAGGGAUUUCCAGAUCAAGCUAGCACCUCCUUUUAAUAUACUUCAUUAACAUCAAUUUCUUAAAACAUACAUUUUUCAAACUACCUUUACUCAAUUCUAAUCUUACUACAACCUAAUUUAUUACUCCAGUUAUAUCUUAAUAAUUCAAUAUUUGAAACAUUUCAACAUUAUAAUAUUUGACCAUUAUAACGUCUCGUUAUCAACCUCCUAAGGCCUUGUCCUCUAAGCAGAAUGAAACACAGUCUAUAUGAUUCACAACUUAAAGAAAACUACAUCAUAACUCUCCUCACCUGCAUUAUUUUAACACCUUUAAUAUCUCCCAACGUUUUCAACCUUUAACAUUUAAUAUGUUUAACCUUUAAUUAGUAUUUCAAUAAAUUCCAGUCCCAAUUCAUUUCUUCUUCUCUUUAGUCAGUGUCAAUUCAUUUCUUCUUCUCUUUAGUCAGUGUCAAUUCAUUUCUUCUUCUCUUUCGUCAGUGUCAAUUCAUUUCUUCUUCUCUUUCGUCAGUGUCAAUUCAUUUCUUCUUCUCUUUAGUCAAUGUCAAUUCAUUUCUUCUUCUCUUUCAUCAGUGUCAAUUCAUUUCUUCUUCUCUUUCGUCAGUGUCAAUUCAUUUCUUCUUCUCUUUCGUCAGUGUCAAUUCAUUUCUUCUUCUCUUUAGUCAGUGUCAAUUCAUUUCUUCUUCUCUUUAGUCAGUGUCAAUUCAUUUCUUCUUCUCUUUAUCAGUUGGGUCCUCCCUACCGGUGUCCUCUGUCACUAAAAUGUCACAGAAAACUGAGCCUCAACCAACCAUUCUUGACACAGUAAAGACCCUCAGUCUACCUCUGUACAUUACAAACAGUAAAGAACCCCAGUCUACCUCUGUACAUUACCAAACAGUAAAGACCCUCAGUCUACCUCUGUACAUUACCAAACAGUAAAGACCCUCAGUCUACCUCUGUACAUUACCAAACAGGAAAGAACCCCAGUCUACCUCUGUACAUUACCAAACAGGAAAGAACCCCAGUCUACCUCUGUACAUUAAAACAGGAAAGAAGCCCAGUCUACCUCUGUAUGUUAAAACAGUAAAGAACCCCAG